UAUUCGAGGUCAUGUCUGUACAUGCUAAGCUCGUCGAGUCAACCUAGGUGUUUCGCGUGUGUAAUUCUGGCUUACACCCGUUGUAUGCGAACGUUUAGAAUCUAUCAGACCCGAUCAUCACGUGGUGCUUCGAGACAACGAACCUUCGCAACGGUGCACACUUAGGGGAAUACAUUCUCGAAAUUUUAAGAGGGGUCAUCUUAUUGUGCUACCGUCGUUCUAAGCAAUAAGAUGUAAAACAUGACAAACAUCACAAUGCAAUCAUAUAGUGACAUGAUAUGGCCAUUAUCAUCUUUGCUCUUUUGAUCUCCAUCUUUAGGCAUCGCAUGAUCAUCAUCGUCACCGGCGUGACACCAUGAUCUCCAUCAUCAUGAUCUCCAGCAUCGUGUCUCCGCGAAGUCGUCACGCCAACUACUACUAUCACUACUACUAUAUCUAACCGUUAGCAAUGAAGUAAAAGUAGUAAGCACAUGGCGUUGCAUCUCAUACAAUAAAUUAAGACAACUCCUAUGGCUCCGGCCGGUUGUCAUACUCAUCGACAUGCAAGUCGUGAAACCUAUUACAAUAACAUGAUCAUCUCAUAUAUCAUACAUGCAACAUCACAACUUUGGCCAUAUCACUUCACAUGUCAAACCCUGCAAAAACAAGUUAGACGUCCUCUAAUUGUUGUUGCAAGUUUUACGUGGCUGAUUUGGGUUUCUAGCAAGAAUGCCUUCUUACCCAUGUGACAGCCACAACGAUGAUAUGCCAAAGCUAUUUACCCUUCAUAAGGACCAUUUUCAUCAAAUCCAAUCCCACUAGAGUAGGAGAGACACACACCCGCUAGCCACCUUUAUGCACGGUGUGCAUGUCUGUCGGUGGAACCAGUCUCACGUAAGCGUACGUGUAAAGUCGGUCCGGGCCUCUUCAUCCCACAAUACCGCCGGAAAAGAAUAAGACUAGUAGCGGCAAGCAAAUUCACAAAUCAUCGCCCACAACUUUUGUGUUCUACUCGUGCAUAGAAUCUACGCAUAGAAAACCUGGCUCGGAUGCCACUGUUGGGUAACGUAGCAUAAAUUCAAAAUUUUCCUACGCCAUAUUCAGAUCUUCCUAUGGAGAGACUAGCAACGAGAGAGGGAUAAGAGCAUCUUCAUACCUUUGAAGAUCGCUAAGCGGAAGCGUUACUAGAACGCGGUUGAUG
RNAcentral lists this long non-coding RNA (1180 nucleotides) under Hordeum vulgare. Its description in RNAcentral is "long non-coding RNA (HVUL_LNC000380)". Lineage: Eukaryota; Viridiplantae; Streptophyta; Magnoliopsida; Poales; Poaceae. The record is from RNAcentral.